This 466-nucleotide ribosomal RNA is filed under the name uncultured bacterium. Its description in RNAcentral is "partial 16S ribosomal RNA". It matches the Rfam family "Bacterial small subunit ribosomal RNA", at positions 28 to 507 of the family's 1533-position model. The record is from RNAcentral.
GAUGAACGCUGGCGGCGUGCUUAACACAUGCAAGUCGAACGAUGAAGCCCAGCUUGCUGGGUGGAUUAGUGGCGAACGGGUGAGUAACACGUGAGUAAACUGCCCUUAACUCUGGGAUAAGCCUGGGAAACUGGGUCUAAUACCGGAUAGGAGCGUCCACCGCAUGGUGGGUGUUGGAAAGAUUUAUCGGUUUUGGAUGGACUCGCGGCCUAUCAGCUUGUUGGUGAGGUAAUGGCUCACCAAGGCGACGACGGGUAGCCGGCCUGAGAGGGUGACCGGCCACACUGGGACUGAGACACGGCCCAGACUCCUACGGGAGGCAGCAGUGGGGAAUAUUGCACAAUGGGCGCAAGCCUGAUGCAGCGACGCCGCGUGAGGGAUGACGGCCUUCGGGUUGUAAACCUCUUUCAGUAGGGAAGAAGCGAAAGUGACGGUACCUGCAGAAGAAGCACCGGCUAACUACGUG